AAUUACUGGGCGUAAAGCGCACGCAGGCGGUCUGUCAAGUCGGAUGUGAAAUCCCCGGGCUCAACCUGGGAACUGCAUUCGAAACUGGCAGGCUUGAGUCUUGUAGAGGGGGGUAGAAUUCCAGGUGUAGCGGUGAAAUGCGUAGAGAUCUGGAGGAAUACCGGUGGCGAAGGCGGCCCCCUGGACAAAGACUGACGCUCAGGUGCGAAAGCGUGGGGAGCAAACAGGAUUAGAUACCCUGGUAGUCCACGCCGUAAACGAUGUCUACUUGGAGGUUGUGCCCUUGAGGCGUGGCUUCCGGAGCUAACGCGUUAAGUAGACCGCCUGGGGAGUACGGCCGCAAGGUUAAAACUCAAAUGAAUUGACGGGGGCCCGCACAAGCGGUGGAGCAUGUGGUUUAAUUCGAUGCAACGCGAAGAACCUUACCUGGUCUUGACAUCCACAGAAGAAUCCAGAGAUGGAUUUGUGCCUUCGGGAACUGUGAGACAGGUGCUGCAUGGCUGUCGUCAGCUCGUGUUGUGAAAUGUUGGGUUAAGUCCCGCAACGAGCGCAACCCUUAUCCUUUGUUGCCAGCGGUUAGGCCGGGAACUCAAAGGAGACUGCCAGUGAUAAACUGGAGGAAGGUGGGGAUGACGUCAAGUCAUCAUGGCCCUUACGACCAGGGCUACACACGUGCUACAAUGGCGCAUACAAAGAGAAGCGACCUCGCGAGAGCAAGCGGACCUCAUAAAGUGCGUCGUAGUCCGGAUUGGAGUCUGCAACUCGACUCCAUGAAGUCGGAAUCGCUAGUAAUCGUGGAUCAGAAUGCCACGGUGAAUACGUUCCCGGGCCUUGUACACACCGCCCGUCACACCAUGGGAGUGGGUUGCAAAAGAAGUAGGUAGCUUAACCUUCGGGAGGGCGCUUACCACUUUGUGAUUCAUGACUGGGGUGAAGUCGUAACAAGGUAACCGUAGGGGAACCUGCGGUUGGAUCACCUCCUUACCUUAAAGAA
RNAcentral lists this ribosomal RNA (994 nucleotides) under Salmonella enterica subsp. enterica serovar Enteritidis. Its description in RNAcentral is "bacterial SSU rRNA". It matches the Rfam family "Bacterial small subunit ribosomal RNA", at positions 549 to 1533 of the family's 1533-position model. Lineage: Bacteria; Pseudomonadati; Pseudomonadota; Gammaproteobacteria; Enterobacterales; Enterobacteriaceae. The record is from RNAcentral.